Molecule: ribosomal RNA, 497 nt
Filed under: uncultured bacterium
Lineage: Bacteria
Description: partial 16S ribosomal RNA
Rfam family: Bacterial small subunit ribosomal RNA
Source: RNAcentral
GAUGAACGCUGGCGGCGUGCCUAAUACAUGCAAGUCGAGCGAACAGAUGAGGAGCUUGCUCCUCUGACGUUAGCGGCGGACGGGUGAGUAACACGUGGAUAACCUACCUAUAAGACUGGGAUAACUUCGGGAAACCGGAGCUAAUACCGGAUAAUAUAUUGAACCGCAUGGUUCAAUAGUGAAAGACGGUUUUGCUGUCACUUAUAGAUGGAUCCGCGCCGCAUAAGCUAGUUGGUAAGGUAACGGCUUACCAAGGCAACGAUGCGUAGCCGACCUGAGAGGGUGAUCGGCCACACUGGAACUGAGACACGGUCCAGACUCCUACGGGAGGCAGCAGUAGGGAAUCUUCCGCAAUGGGCGAAAGCCUGACGGAGCAACGCUGCGUGAGUGAUGAAGGUCUUCGGAUCGUAAAACUCUGUUAUUAGGGAAGAACAAAUGUGUAAGUAACUAUGCACGUCUUGACGGUACCUAAUCAGAAAGCCACGGCUAACUACGUG